UGUGCGCCUGCCCUCUCGGUGUCGGAGAGACGCCCUUCCACCUCUGGGAGCCUCGGUCUGUUGGGGUCGCGGAGUUCGGGCGCGGCUCCGGGUACCCGAGACCAGCGGCGGCAACUUCUAACACGGGAGAUUUCCCGCCACCCCACCCCGCCGCCGCGAGUCCUCGCGGGGCGUGUUGCGUGCGGAGAAUCGACGGGAUUUCUCUGGCUGUCGUUUGCGCUGCAUUUAUCCGAAUACAUCCAGCUCGCAGGCAUCCUGCAAGAAACGGCUCCCGGCUCGCGUGUACGCCGACACCUCGGCCCAACGCAGGACUCGAGGUGGUUUCUAGUGCCCGGGUGGCUGCAAGUCUGCCCUCCGAGGGAGGCUGGACAAGCGGCGCCCCCAGGUCGAGCGGCCUCUCGCUGCCUGGCAGUGCCUGGCAGCCCCCACCUCUGCCAGUGCUUCGGAAACCCGCCUGGCCAGGUUCGCCCGCGGUGAAAAAUGAAAGCAAAUUCCCCAACAGAGGUAGCCGGAACUUUCCUCGACGAAGGCUCCCUCCUGCGCCUGUGUCUGGAGAACCCCCAGAGCGCUGCAAGUUAGCAAGAGAGAUUCGAUGGCGGCUCUGGAAGGCGCACGAAGGGUGGGGCGGGGGAGCAAAGAGGCCACUGGGUGACCCAGCCUGGUCCGGGGUGAAACGCUAGAGAAGGCGCCUCGCCUUCCUUAUUUCAAUGCAACUCCUCGGCCCCAGACGGUAAAAAUAGUUUCCAAGCUGCCGCGGACGCCCAGGAUGUGUUUGCAGAGAUCAAACUGGGGAGGAGGCAGCUUUGUAAAAGUUGCAGAAAGAUUAGCCGAGAAGCGUCCGCCCGGCGGGGCUCAAGAAAGCUUGGGGACAGCUCCAUGUUCCUUGGGGCGGAAUGGCCCAAGAAUUGGCCUGGGUAACCCCCUGCCCAGUUCUCUGUCCUCACUUCGAGCCAGUGCUUAAAUAACUUCCCGCCGCCUGCCCUGCAAACUUCCCGGCGCGGCGCCGUUGAGGCCAGGACACAGCAAAGGCUAGCAAAACCCCGCCGCGGCGCGCUCGGCCCCGGCCCUGAGAGGCUGCGCGGGUGGGAGGACCAGUGUGGUUUCUGCUCCCACUCGGCUGCCCAGACCCUCAAGACCGAUCCCCCAACUCCUGGGAGCGGGUGCUUCCCUCUGGGAGCCGAGAUCUUGCGGGGCCAGCGAGGGCGCAAAGUGCGCGCGCUGGCCCGCGCGGGGGCGGCCGCGCGUCUCUCCGCGGGGCCUGUCGCCAGGCCGGCCGCGGCGCGUGAGUGAUGAGGGCAGAGAAGGGCGCCCAUAAAUCGCGGGUGUCAGGGCGAAAAACUCUCUUUAUUGUCUGCGUGAUGGAUGGGCCCGGGGACGAGACACCAAAUACUUCGUAUCGCCUUUAAAUGGGAACACAUUUUCCGCGG
RNAcentral lists this long non-coding RNA (1427 nucleotides) under Homo sapiens (human). Its description in RNAcentral is "HSALNT0358537". The record is from RNAcentral. Lineage: Eukaryota; Metazoa; Chordata; Mammalia; Primates; Hominidae.